Molecule: unclassified non-coding RNA, 352 nt
Filed under: plant metagenome
Description: partial contains small subunit ribosomal RNA, internal transcribed spacer 1, and 5.8S ribosomal RNA
Source: RNAcentral
UUUCCGUAGGUGAACCUGCGGAAGGAUCAUUAUAAAUGAAAAACGAAUAACUUCAGGGAAGAAGGGAACCUGCACGGUGACCUCCCCUGUCGGGCCACCCAAUACCUUCAAAAUGCCGCCGUCCUAGCGGUGGCAGACGAAAAAAAAACAAGAAGAACAUAAUAGAAACAGGCACGGUGGCCCGUUCACCUUCACACAACCCUCCGAGUACCGCUUCCAUGUUGCUUCCCCGCAAAUCCACCUCUUUGGUGAGCGCGGGGGAGGUCCGCAUCAAAUUCACCUGAAUGUCACAGCAGUCAGACAGCCAUUCAUGGAAACAAUAAAACUUUCAACAACGGAUCUCUUGGUUCCC